Molecule: long non-coding RNA, 493 nt
Filed under: Coffea arabica (coffee)
Lineage: Eukaryota; Viridiplantae; Streptophyta; Magnoliopsida; Gentianales; Rubiaceae
Description: long non-coding RNA (CARA_LNC004505)
Source: RNAcentral
CAGCCCGUUGGGCAGUUUAAGGAUGUUGGGAAUUCUAGUUUACCUGAGGGGCCGAUUGAACUGCCUACGCCAUUGUCUGAGGUAAAACAAGAGCCUUAUAAUCUUCCGAACUCGUAUGAAUGGAGUACAUGUGACAUGGGGUCUGAUGAAGUAUGCAAUGAGGUUUACGUGUUGUUGACCAAUAACUAUGUGGAGGAUGACGAUAACAUGUUCAGGUUUAAUUACUCGAAGGAGUUUCUUCGUUGGGCUUUGCGUUCUCCUGGGUAUUAUAGCAGUUGGCAUGUUGGAGUUCGUGUUAAGGCUUCGAAGAAGUUGGUUGCUUUCAUUAGUGGCAUUCCUGUGAACAUGAGGGUUCGAGAUCAAGUUGUGAAAAUGGCUGAGGUUAACUUUUUAUGCGUUCAUAAGAAACUUAGGUCGAAGAGACUUGCUCCGGUUAUGAUUAAGGAGGUUACGAGGAGGAUUCACUUGGAGAAUGUUUGGCAGGCUGCUUACA